CCACUCACUCACCCCUCCCCCGGCGGGAUGGGGAGGAGAACAGAAAAAAAACAACGGCAAAGCCUCGAGGGUUGGGAUAAGGGCAGUUUACUGGGACAGCAAGGGAGAGGGAAACAAUCAACAACAGUACUGAUAACAGAUAUUCACAAUGGGUGAUAACAGAGAACAAUUUACCGAUCCGACGACCGACCGACCGACCGGACGCUCAGCCUGUCCCGGAGCCACACGGAACCCGCCCCUGCCCGACCAGCCCCCUUUUAUGAUAGUUCACAUGGCUUCAGUUAGGACCUGAUCCAAGGGCUGGUGGUCACAGCUGGAGUCUUUACGCUGUCUUUGAUGGAUUUUGGAGCAGCCUGAGUAGAUUUUGGUACAUCUUCAAUCAUGUUGGAGGGUGCUGUCUCUAUCCUUUGACUACAUGAGGGACAAAGAGCCUGGCCUCUGGGCUUGGAUUGGCCAGAAAAUGUGUGCUUGCCUGCAGAAGGGCUUCUGUGUUUGUAAGUAUUCCUUUCUUCCUUAUAUUAAUUUAUUUCCUAACAAAUACUAGCUGUCCUUAAAAAUCUUGCCUGUGCUUUUCUGGACACUUUCAAAUUUCCUUUAGAAAGGAAAAUGCCUGAAAAAAUGAAGUUUGGUGUUUUCAGCCAAAAAUAAGGUAUUUUGUCUCAAAAAAAAAAUGCAAUAGGAACUUUAACCAGUUAUCAUAACUCACUCUUCACUUUUAAGAUACAACGUUUUCAGUCACUCAUCAUCACAUAUUGCUAUAUGGGCAUCAUGGGAUCUGUAGUCUUAUCCCAGCAUCUCAUCUGUGGAGUUGAGCGUGGGCAAGAAGAACUGUCACUGCAGCUCCCAUUAGGUAAGUCAAUGACAUAUACAUAAAACAGAAAAAGAUAAACAUUUUCAACGUAAAAAAAUAGUUCAGAUUAAAUAUUUACAUUUUUAGUGUCAAAAAGCUCCCAAGUUUUCAGAUCGGCUGUAAUUGCAGCUCUGUGAUGGCACUAUUAAGGCUCCUGUCAUAACUGCAGACAGUCUGUUCCCCCUGCAGGAAGCUGCUUCAGUAUUUAUUACAACACUGAGGUCAUCGCUAGUGUUAACUAAUAGCUGUCCCUAAGGACGGGUAAAUUGUGAUCCAGAAUCCUUAUCUUAUUCAUUUUCUGUUUCUUGCCCACCUCCUUUUUCUAACUUGGACUCUGAACUGAGACAAACUGUUUAGGAAGAAAUUGCGUCUGAAGCUACAAGGCUCCUCUGGGCUUCCCCCUUCCUGCUGAGCAUCUCAUCCUGUGGCGAUACCCAUCCGUAGCAUUUCACAGUCCAGUGCUUCUGAAGCCCACAGAGAAGGAGGGAAUCAAAAAUGGCACAAAAUUACCAGUUUCCUGGCUGGAUUCAAAAAUGUGCACCCUCCAGCAGGUCUCUGGGAUGUUGCUUAUCUGCAGGUCUCCCUUGUUUGAGCUGAAGAUCCUUUUUGUCUUUGGUGAUUUCUUCUUUUUGUAGAAGAAAGGAAGCGCUGAGCCUUCAGGAAGCUAACCAUUUUCUCUGACUUUUGCUGAUAUUACAAGGCCCCUCCAUAGCUGCAGGCUGCUCCUACCUCUCCCCAGAAGUUUGAGUCCAACAGUGCAAGAUUGUCACAAAACCAGACUCUUACAGGAGGUUUCCUCUUCUUAGAAGGCACAAGGUUGCUUUCCAGUUGACACAGUCCUGAUGCAUUUGGGAAAUAGAUGCCAGCUCUUUCGACCUCUUCUCCUAAUGCUUUCUGAAAGAGUUGGGUAGCUUUAGUUUUACACCAGAUAUCAAAGAGCAGCUCAAAAUCUGGAAAGGUCUCAAGUGCUCACUUGUAAAGAUCCCCAGAGAGCUUGACAGUGGAAUCCUUUCUGUUCCUUCACAGAUUUUAUUUUAAGGUUUAUAGUGAGCUUUUUGCUCUUUUCUGGACCUGAAUUGUCUCUGGUCUGUCAGCCACAUGGUGCAGAUGUCUGCAUCCCCUUCCCUGCCAGCAUUCUUCCAGUCAUUAUUCCCAAAACCUGAUCUCCUUGUCUGAGCCUCCAUGUGUUAAGGAUCCCUUUGGGACAACAUGAUUAUUUCCCUCUGCCUGCUGUGUAUCCCCUGACAGCUUGUCUGGUAAAACCCAAGCUUUGACCACAGGCAAAUAUCAGUCUUAGAACUGGUUCAUCUUGAGGAGAGAAUUACCAUUACAUUGAGUUACAGUUCUUUCACCAAACCAAUCUUGUCACCAACCUCCAAAAAAAAAAAAAGCACCAAACAGAGAAAGAGAUGGUAACUUAUGAACUUCUUCACAUCAUAGAAAGUGCAAUCAUUUACCUUCUGUUCAAAAUACUUUUAAUUCAGAAUGAGAAAACAAACAAUGAGAAGAAAUAAAAUUAUAGUGCAUGUAGGCCAGUAAGGUGUGUGUACACACUAAGUUAGGGUCCCCUGGCUUCCCAUCAGAUGAGUCAGCUACAGACCCAGCCAUGAAAUGUUGUAUCCUCCAUUGCCUGUAAAGAGAAGCCUGAGGAAACACAGGACAAGGGCUUACACAAUAAUGGUUGGCCUGGGUUAGUCACCAAAUCUUCUACUCCUAGAAUGGAAGAGACUUAGACAAAACCAGCUAGUGGCAGACUUGAAACACCAAGAGAUACUUCUUCAUCCAGCCUAGAGUUAAGCCAUGGAAUUCCUCGUCACAGGAUGUCUGGAUGUAAAUAAUGUACUUACUAGAAGGGUAAAUUGAGGGGAAAAAAAUCAUCUAGAGCUGUUAAACACAACAAUAUUAAAUUGCUGGAAGUCUGGGAAUAUGUGCUUAAAAUCUGACUCGUUCACCCUUUCCUAGGCACCUGUUAUGCAGGUAUCAGAGGGUGGCAGGGUAGCUGAACCUUCGGUCAGCUACUAUGUUGAAGGACCACACAGUCUUUGUAUGUGUAGAUCAUGUUGCGUUACAGCCUAUAUCGCUCUUUCAGAGGACCUUGCUUCUAUCCCAAGCUUACUGUUUUUUCUCCUUUCUAAUGUGCAGCCACAGCUUGAGAGAGAGACAAGUUGCAGUUUGUGUGCUGGGGAGAUUCUUCAGGUUACGUGAUGCCCAAACAUGUUUUCCUACUGAAGGCAGGAGGAUCAUCUGUCCCAAGGCUUGGGCCUCUGCUAUUCCAGCAGGAAGCUAUCCUCCCUGAGCCUCAUUUUAAUCUCCUAUUGUUGUAAAUCAGGAAUAACCGCAAGAAAGACAGUAAAAUUAAGCUUGUGAAAACUGAUGUACAAGACUUAAGGCCUCUGAUCUCCACCAGCAAUGGAGAUGAACUCACUCCUUGAAUCUCUUCUCCCUCUGUAUGCAAAUGCUGCUGGUCUUUCGAGAUGCUCAGAUGUGGCUCUGAACCUUGUAUGCUGGAACACAGCGUCCAGGCUUUGUAAAGCGGCUCCUCACUGAUAUAAAGACUUACAGAGGAAAAUUCUCUUUCUGGGCGAGGCUCGAUAGAAAUAAGAAAUUCUGGUUGCGCAGAAAAGCUUUUGAACCUACUCUCAUCCCAAUCAAGCUGCUGCAACACACUUCCUAUUUGCAUCAAUUAAAAUGAUGGUUAUGGAUCAAAUUAAAAAAAGAAAUCUAAAGGAUAUUUCUGUGGUAUCGGAGCAGACUGUUUCUAAAAACUUGUGUGACCGCAGGAGCUCAAGGAAGCAACGUUUUGUUUUUUGUUCUGCCUACUCACAAGAUAUGGUCAGGAAAAAUGUUUUUUAUGUUUUCUUCUCUUUCCAAAUGGCUAAAAUCUGAGCUUAGUUUCUUUCCUGUUUCAGAUAAAUGGAAUGGAUUCUGAUUAAAAGCUAUGUUUAAUUGAAACUGCCAAGAUAAGAAAAUAUUUUAAGAUUUUGCUAUGUUGAAAAUAUGAAUUUAAGAAUAGAUAGAAUUUCAACAAUCUGACUUGCAAGAUGCCAUUUUUUAUUCAUUUCCCUCCAACAUUUUAUUUGUCUCAGACAGUAAGAAUUGUCUGCUCGCUUUCAUAGUUUGGGGAGAUGCUGAGAUUUCAGACCAUGCAGGAAAUACCUAAUAAUGCCAUUCCUUCUUGCCAUUCUCAUGCUUUCGCAUUAAGGUUUGGCAUGAGACCAGGUUUAAGAGUGAAACGCUGCCUGUCUAUCAAAGUUUUAUGGUUCUUCCAGUGAUGUCUGGGCACCUUUUUGUUUUUGUUAGAGCUUGAGAGAUACACAGAGAAGUGACCUUUCUGCUUUCAUAACUUGUAUAAAUAAAUGGGCUUGCAAAAUGCUUCUGGCAGCCCUGGAUGAUGGAAAGCUAAAAUUCCACUUUGUGAGAAAUUUUCACUUUUAAAACUGAGAUGUUAGUCUGACUGGAAGUGAAAAGACAGUCUUCAUGAAUUUCCCU
Long non-coding RNA from Grus americana (Whooping crane), 4339 nucleotides. RefSeq lists it as uncharacterized. The record is from RefSeq and is a predicted model, not a curated record. The transcript has 5 exons. Lineage: Eukaryota; Metazoa; Chordata; Aves; Gruiformes; Gruidae.